GAGUGCCAAAGUGAGUUGGGGUGGUGGAUGGGUCAAAAAACCCAGGACUCUCACCCAGGGGACAGCUGUUUGUGUGCCACGUGAAACCAAAAGUCAGCCUUGACUUUCUUUAGGUAAACCAACUGUGUUAUGGAUUUAGCCAAUCCAUGAUCUUUUCCUACGAGCAGUUCCGUUACAAAAUGUUAAACACGUGUUUACAACUACGACCGUUUUUCAACAUUAAAUAGAACGGUUACGUGUUAUGGUCACACGUUAAAAACUACCACCGUUGUCUAGGCUAGUGCUGCAUUCAGUGCCCUGGCAGAAAGACUGGAGUUGGUCCCCAGGCCCCUGUGCCUGCAAACUAAUCCUGUGUUGACAAAUUACAUUUCUCUGUGAAUGACAAGAAAAGCACAUUUAAACUUUAAGCACCUUUAAACUAUGACAUAUGCUGCAUAAACUAAUUAAAAAACUGUGUAGGUAUAACCUAGUAUUAUUAACCUUAUGCACUCACAUUUGAAUAUACUUUGUACUUUUAUGCACUAAAAUGAUAAGGGUCCCAUCCAAACCUUGUCACUACUUCGAGAAAAGUCAUGAAUCAUCCUUUUCCCUCAGCGUUAUCAUUACGUUUGAUAGUUGAUUUUUCUCUAAGGAGUAGAUGGUACAUUGUUUUCUUUUUUUGUGUACAGGCAACCCACAAGUAUGUUUUUUAGUUGUACUUUUGCUCACAAUUGUUUAUUCUUGUAAACACUGUAUUUCCCAUGCACUAUGUGUGUUCUUUGUAUGUAUAUAUAAUCUCAUUGACUUGUAUUUGUUCUUCUCGUUACACAGCACUUUAUGAACCUGGUUUUAAAUGUUUUAAAAUGUGCUGAAUGAAUCAAAAGCUGUUUUUGCACCAAGAGCAUGUUUGAAGAUUGUACAGUUCAAUCUUGUUGCCUGAAAUACCUGACAUUAAUGUUUAAAUUAAUUUAUUCAUUGUUAAACAACAGUGUACAAAUAAUAAAAAUCUUCUUACUUAGUGUUGUUACUGCUUAGAAACAUAUCACAACUAGGAAACAUGGUUAAGAAUGGGGUUUCAAUACAUUUUGAACAUUAUACACAUUACAUUAAUAGAAGUGUUUUUUUCAGAACAGAUUACAAUUUACAAUUUGGUAAACAAGUUUGUUUUCCAAAAAUGACACAUUUGAACAGCUAAACAUGCAAAUCACUGAAUAGUCUCCUGCUGUUUUGUAAAAAUAAAAUACAUGGAG
Etheostoma cragini (Arkansas darter) is the source of this 1229-nucleotide long non-coding RNA. RefSeq lists it as uncharacterized. The record is from RefSeq and is a predicted model, not a curated record. The transcript is spliced from 2 exons. NCBI's taxonomy places the organism in Eukaryota, Metazoa, Chordata, Actinopteri, Perciformes, Percidae.